Molecule: long non-coding RNA, 1741 nt
Organism: Drosophila albomicans
Lineage: Eukaryota; Metazoa; Arthropoda; Insecta; Diptera; Drosophilidae
Exons: 3
Source: RefSeq, a predicted model, not a curated record
UUCUUGUUUUGGUUAUCAAUUUCAUGUCUGGCUAUUGUCAGCGCCUCAAUACAAUCAAUACGGAUGGCAAUGAGUAACCGCUUUUGUGCCUUGUCAUUGCCGGUCGUCAGUCGCCGGUCGACAGUCUCCAGUUGGAGCUCUCCAUCUUUUGUGGUUGCGGUUGUUUUUCUAUACGUUUAUUAUUCAUUCAGCAGGAGAAGGAGGAGUAGGGUGGGAAAUCAAGAGCUUCUGCUUUUUAUCUACAGCUUCGACUAAUUAUAAAUGUAUUAUUAUGACAGGUCUCAUGUGGUGGCAUGCCAUGUUCAUUUUUGGCGCCAUUAACCUUCAAUUGCCCAUGGCUGGCAAUCAGUUAAGUCAGUGACUUUGUCACCAACUCAACAACAACGACGACGACGACGGCGACACACGACUUGCAUCUAAAAACGCGGCGUCGUUGACAUGGAUGUGACCAAAAAUAGCUGACUAUUAACUGUGGCAAACCUCUCAACAACUGAGCCAACUAACAAGAGAAACAAUUGUCAUAGAGCGUGGGUGGGACGAGGCAAAGCAAUGCGGCAAGUUGAGUUGAGUUGAGUUCUUGCUAAAGUCAACAGCAACCCAAACAAUUUCAUAUUUAUUUACGACUGUAGAAAGUUGAACAAUGCUUACUCAGUACUGUCUGUUAUUGCUGCGCCCCAACUAAUUUAAACUAUAUACAUAAUUGUGUUUCAACUAAUCACAAGACACCUUGCUUUGAGGCGCAACUCAUUUCGGGUCUUCUUAUUGCCGCAGUAAGACAAGAGAAAAACGACACUUGGAACAAGCGAAGCGAAGCGAGCACAAAUAAUUGCAUUGAAAUUAUUUAUGUACCCAAAACUCGCCGUCACUCGACUCAUAAAAUCAUAAAAAUGGGGACCAAGAGAAGCGCCAGCACAGCGUGAAGUGCACAGCAACAAAAGCCUUGGAGGGGUGCCCAUCACAUCAAGAGAGGAAGAAGAAACAACAUCAGCUUGAGCCCAAGCCCAAACUCAUGGCUGACCCCAAGCAAAGUCAACACACAUCAAAGUGACGCGAGAAGAGGUCAAGCGUUAAGUCAUAAAAUAAAAAGAAAAAAAAACAGUGCCCCCCAUGGCUGUGAAGAGACACACCGCAGUUGCAAGGGGAAACUCGAGAAAACUCAAGACAAAUGUUAAUCAUCCGAUCUGCCAGUUGGCAGUUGCAACCUCACGAUGAUCGUCAUCACCACAGCAGCAGCAGCAGCAGUGUCAUCAUCAAGUCCGUUCAGUGACUGUCGAUGACGUUGUCAACUUUUGAUGUUAGUCAACGCCACAGCGAAACAACAUUUCCACAAAAGUCCAUGGCAAGGCUUCAGCUUUAGCUUCGGCUUCGACUUUAGUGAGGCCAGUCGAAGGCGACCUGAAUAAAAAGCAUUUUAGUAACGCGCUAAUUACAUAAAAUUGUUGUUCUUUGGAAUUACAAGUGCAACAAGUACGACUACAACAGAAGCAAUUCUCAGCUCUUAACUCUCAAUUCGCAAUUCUCAUUGCAAUCAACAGGUUCUCUGCCAAUGCAUUGAACAGCUGCUCAUACUUUCUACGCAAAAUACUUGAGAAUUAUUUACAAGAGGUGUGUUGUCAUUUCGCAUGUCUCGACAAAUUUCAGUUGUAGUCCAGGGUUAGAAGUAUUUUGUGUUAAAAUGAUUUCAAUUGCAUUAUCUGUAAUAAGCUCAAGGAAACAGAAUAAAGAAGGAAUUGAAGCUUAC